UACGUAGGGUGCAAGCGUUGUCCGGAAUUAUUGGGCGUAAAGAGCUCGUAGGCGGUUUGUUGCGUCGGCUGUGAAAUCCCGAGGCUCAACCUCGGGUCUGCAGUCGAUACGAGCAAACUAGAGUGUUGCAGGGGAGACUGGAAUUCCUGGUGUAGCGGUGAAAUGCGCAGAUAUCAGGAGGAACACCGGUGGCGAAGGCGGGUUGCUGGGCUGACACUGACGCUGAUGCGCGAAAGCUAGGGGAGCGAACGGG
RNAcentral lists this ribosomal RNA (253 nucleotides) under uncultured bacterium. RNAcentral's name for it is "partial 16S ribosomal RNA". It matches the Rfam family "Bacterial small subunit ribosomal RNA", at positions 524 to 776 of the family's 1533-position model. The record is from RNAcentral.